RNA transcript from Carlito syrichta (Philippine tarsier), 1827 nucleotides. It is a transcript of the gene named eukaryotic peptide chain release factor subunit 1 pseudogene, with no coding region annotated. The record is from RefSeq and is a predicted model, not a curated record. The transcript has a single exon. Lineage: Eukaryota; Metazoa; Chordata; Mammalia; Primates; Tarsiidae.
GCCGACAGGAACGUGGAGAUCUGGAAGAUCAAAAAGCUCAUUAAGAGCUUGGAGACGGACAGCAGCAAUGGCACCAGCAUAUCAUUGAUCAUUCCUCCCAAAGACCAGAUUUCAUGAGUGGCAAAAAUGUUAGCAGAUGAAUUUGAAACUGCAUCUAACAUUAAGUCACAAAUAAACUGCCUUUCAGUCCUGGAGUCAUUACAUCGGUACAACAAAGACUCAAACUUUAUAACAAAGUACCUCCAAAUGGUCUGGUGGAACAAUUGUAACUGAAGAAGGAAAGGAAAAGAAAGUCAAAAUUGACUUUGAACCUUUCAAACCAAUUAAUACGUCACUGUAUUUGUGUGACAACCAAUUCCAUAUAGAGGCUCUCAUAGCACUACUUUCAGAUGAUAGUAAGUUUGGCAUCAUUGUAAUAGAUGGUAGUGGUGCACUUUUUGGUACACUCCAAGGAAAUACACGAGAAGUUCUGCAUAAAUUCACUGUGGAUCUCCCAAAGAAACACGGUAAAGGAGGUCAGUCAACCUUGCGUUUUACCCGUUUGAGAAUGGAAAAGCGACAUAACUAUGUCGGAAAGUAGCAGAGACUGCUAUGCAGCUGUUUAUUUCUGGGGACAAAGUGAAUGUGGCUGGUCUCGUUUUAGCUGGAUCAGCCGACUUUAAAACUGAACUAAGUCAAUCUGAUAUGUUUGAUCAGAGGUUGCAAUCAAAAGUUAAAAUUAGUUGAUAUAUCCUAUGGUAGUGAAAAUGGAUUCAACCAAGCUAUUGAGUUAUCUACUGAAGUCCUCUCCAACAUGAAAUUCAUUCAAGAGAAGAAAUUAAUAGGACAAUACUUUGAUGAAAUCAGCCAGGACACAGGCAAGUACUGUUUUGGCGUUGAAGAUACACUAAAGGAUUUGGAAAUGGGAGCUGUAGAGAUUCUAACAGUCUAUGAAAAUCUGGAUAUAAUGAGAUAUGUUCUUCAUUGCCAAGGCACAGAAGAGGAGAAAAUUCUCUAUCUAACUCCAGAACAAGAAAAGGAUAAAUCUCAUUUUACAGACAAAGAGACCGGACAAGAACAUGAGCUUAUUGAGGGUAUGCCCCUGUUGGAAUGGUUUGCUAACAACUAUAAAAAAUUUGGAGCCACGUUGGAAAUUGUCACAGAUAAGACACAAGAAGGAUCCCAGUUUGUGAAAGGAUUUGGUGGAACUGGAGGUAUCUUGCAGUACCGAGCAGAUUUCCAGGGAAUGGAGUACCAAGGAGGAGAUGAUGACUUUUUUGACCUUGAAGACGACCAGGCAGUCGACAUGGGUCCGGCAAAACGUGCCUCACCCUCCAGCAUCUAACCCAAGGAGCAUAACCACGGUGGAAUCCAAACAGAUCCCUGCCUUACAACUGGAACACUUCCAGAACUUAAUCCAUGAGCACUGGAUAUUGAAAAGAAAACAGAAACAAAACCAGAUCCCACCCUACACUUUGGUUUGUCAUGGUGUCAGCACAGCAGCCUACAACUAAGUUCCUAAAUGCCACUUUGGACUAAUUUAAAAAAGAAUCCCAGUUUUUACUUUUACUCGGUGAAAUUGGUUGCUCUUGUAUUUUAUGGAAAAAAAAGAUUUUUUUAACCUUCAUACAUAGGAGCAAAAAUACUUUGCUGUAAACCUUCAAAAGUUAAUAGAAGUGAGAUCAUACUGGUUUCUUAUUUCGAUUGGGGAAAAACUAAAUUGCUGCAUUGUGCAGUGACCCAUUUACAUGGCAUUCUCAGCUUAGACUGCAUAAGAAGAAAUAUAUGUGGUGAAAUGUUGGAGCCAUUUCUCUUGGCUUCUGUUUAAUGUUGAAAGGGUGAGCUAAU